RNAcentral lists this ribosomal RNA (497 nucleotides) under uncultured bacterium. RNAcentral's name for it is "bacterial SSU rRNA". It matches the Rfam family "Bacterial small subunit ribosomal RNA", at positions 30 to 507 of the family's 1533-position model. The record is from RNAcentral.
CGAACGUUAGCGGCGCGCCUAACACAUGCAAGUCGCACGAGAAAGGGAGCAAUCCCCGGUACAGUGGCGCACGGGUGAGUAACACGUAGAUGACCUUCCCUGGAGUGGUGGAUAACCUGCCGAAAGGCGGGCUAAUACAGCAUGGGACCACAUGGUUUUGACCGAGUGGUGAAAGCGGGCCUCUGUUCACAAGCUCGCGCUCUGGGAUGGGUCUGCGUCCCAUCAGCUAGUUGGUGAGGUAAUGGCUCACCAAGGCAUCGACGGGUAGCUGGUCUGAGAGGAUGACCAGCCACACUGGAACUGAGACACGGUCCAGACUCCUACGGGAGGCAGCAGUGGGGAAUCUUGCGCAAUGGGCGAAAGCCUGACGCAGCGACGCCGCGUGGGUGAUGAAGGCCUUCGGGUUGUAAAGCCCUGUGGGGAGGAACGAACCGUACGGGGGCGAACACCCUCCGUACCUGACGGUACCUCCUUAGCAAGCAUCGGCUAACUCUGUG